Molecule: ribosomal RNA, 773 nt
Filed under: Salmonella enterica
Lineage: Bacteria; Pseudomonadati; Pseudomonadota; Gammaproteobacteria; Enterobacterales; Enterobacteriaceae
Also listed under: 2 other names
Description: partial 23S ribosomal RNA
Rfam family: Bacterial large subunit ribosomal RNA
Source: RNAcentral
GACUCAGUGAAAUUGAACUCGCUGUGAAGAUGCAGUGUACCCGCGGCAAGACGGAAAGACCCCGUGAACCUUUACUAUAGCUUGACACUGAACAUUGAGCCUUGAUGUGUAGGAUAGGUGGGAGGCUUUGAAGUGUGGACGCCAGUCUGCAUGGAGCCGACCUUGAAAUACCACCCUUUAAUGUUUGAUGUUCUAACGUGGACCCGUGAUCCGGGUUGCGGACAGUGUCUGGUGGGUAGUUUGACUGGGGCGGUCUCCUCCUAAAGAGUAACGGAGGAGCACGAAGGUUGGCUAAUCCUGGUCGGACAUCAGGAGGUUAGUGCAAUGGCAUAAGCCAGCUUGACUGCGAGCGUGACGGCGCGAGCAGGUGCGAAAGCAGGUCAUAGUGAUCCGGUGGUUCUGAAUGGAAGGGCCAUCGCUCAACGGAUAAAAGGUACUCCGGGGAUAACAGGCUGAUACCGCCCAAGAGUUCAUAUCGACGGCGGUGUUUGGCACCUCGAUGUCGGCUCAUCACAUCCUGGGGCUGAAGUAGGUCCCAAGGGUAUGGCUGUUCGCCAUUUAAAGUGGUACGCGAGCUGGGUUUAGAACGUCGUGAGACAGUUCGGUCCCUAUCUGCCGUGGGCGCUGGAGAACUGAGGGGGGCUGCUCCUAGUACGAGAGGACCGGAGUGGACGCAUCACUGGUGUUCGGGUUGUCAUGCCAAUGGCACUGCCCGGUAGCUAAAUGCGGAAGAGAUAAGUGCUGAAAGCAUCUAAGCACGAAACUUGCCCCGA